UUUAACUCGCAGUUUGAAGCAAGAGCUUUCGGAGAAGAAAUGCAAAGCAGUUGAAUUACAGUAAAAGCAACACAAUUCGUUCACCAAGUAACAACCUUCGUGCUAUUAUAAUAUUCUCAGAGACUCCCACAUUCAGUCAAACUGCUCACUAGUAACGACCCUAACGAGAAACGAAACGAAGAUCCCCAAAGCCAUCGGCAAUGGUAAAGGAGAUAAAUGUUUGGAUUAUUCAGCAAUCCAUUCCAGUCAUGAGUAUGAAAUCCCAAACACUUUGGAAGCUGAAUUCUUGCACCUCGUUAUCGGAUUUUGGCAAUGGCCCGCCUUUCCAAAUUUGCUACUACUUCAAUAAAGGAGUGGAGCCUUAUAAGAUGGAGCGUCACUGGAGAUUUCGGCAAAUUUGAGGAAAAAGCUCCGCGAAUUCUUUCACUGCUAGUUUGCUCGAAGGAGGUGUAUAAGGUAAUGUGUUUCCUAUUUGCUUAAAUAAAUAUGACUUGUACAUUGUGUAACUUACCAUUACUUUCAAAUAUACCAAAUAGGUUUGUGCACACUAUCCGAUUUUAUCUCUCAUUGAAAUUGUCAAAUUGUUUCUCUGAGCUAUGUUAUAGUCUGCUUUAAUGGCUGCUGUAAGGAAUACAGGAUGAAUAAUCGGAAAAGAUAAUCAUAAUGAAAUAGCUUUUUCACUUGUGUGUAUUUACCUAUUGAUCUUGUAAUCAUCGUCAGAGAAUAUAGGGAUUUAAGGCUUAUCGUUGAUAAAAUUUAUUUCACAGAUAGAUCAAUUGUACAAAUAUCAUAUUGUUACAGUUAUUUGUAUCUUGGUCGCGGUUGUACCAUUUGAAAAGGGAAAAUUUCAUUAAUAUAAUCUUUAAGAAAAAGCAAUAAUCUCCUUCCUCACUAGAAAUGAUGUAAGUAUA
Pistacia vera is the source of this 911-nucleotide long non-coding RNA. RefSeq lists it as uncharacterized. The record is from RefSeq and is a predicted model, not a curated record. Lineage: Eukaryota; Viridiplantae; Streptophyta; Magnoliopsida; Sapindales; Anacardiaceae. The transcript is spliced from 3 exons.